Molecule: long non-coding RNA, 1475 nt
Filed under: Mus musculus (house mouse)
Lineage: Eukaryota; Metazoa; Chordata; Mammalia; Rodentia; Muridae
Description: predicted gene 28322
Source: RNAcentral
UCUCUCUCUCUCUCUCUCUCUCUCUCUCUCUCUCUCUCUCUCUCUCUCUCCCCUUCCUUCCGUCCCUCCCAUCCCUUUCUCUCCAUUUCUCUGUCUCUACUAUCACCUCAACUCCCCUCCCCAUGCCCUAAAUAAACUCUAUUCUAAACUUAAAAUAAAUAAAUAAAUAAAUAAACAAAUAAAGAAGCCUUAUAAGAAGUAGAAAAGUGACCCUUUCCUCACAGGUGUAUUGAAUCUGUGGCUCUUAUACUCUUUCCACACCCUCUUCCUUGAUGUUCCCUGAGCCUUAGGCCUAGGCUAAUAUUGAGUUAUGUCUACUAGAACUGAACCCACCACUGUCAGUUCUUUGCAUGUUGACAAGCUUCCCCUCUCUCCUCUACUCCAAGUUCCUCCUGCCCCUUGCCUUACUUCCAUUCACUCCUCCCGUUCUCUUCAGAAAAAGGCAAACCUCCCAUAGGUAUCAAACAGCCAUAGCAUAUUAAAUUACAAUAAAACCAGGAGGGCCAGGAACCAGAGGCUGUAUUACCCAAAGACCUAGGAUAGAAGCAAACAUUACGAGAGAGAGAGAGAGAGAGAGAGAGAGAGAGAGAGAGAGAGAGAGAGAGAGAGAGAGAGCAUUGUUGAUAACCUGCCAUACUCAUAGAUUGGUACCUAGCCCAAUUGUCAUCAGAGAGACUUCACCCAGCAACUGUUGGAAACAGAUGUAGAGAUACACAGUCAAACAUUAGGCAGAGCUUGGGGAACCCUGCAGAAGUUGGAAAGGAAGGAAUGUAGUAGCCAGAAGGGUCCAGGGCACUACAAGACAACCCACAGUGAUCAACUAACCUGGGCUCAUAGGGGCUUACAGAGACUCAACCACCACUAGGGAGAACACGUGGAACUGACCUAGACCCUCUACACAUAUGUUAGGCUUCAGUAGAAGACUAACAUAGCUAACAAUAGAAGAGGCUAUCUCUGACUCUUUUGCCUACCUUUGGGACUCAUUCCUCCUCCAGGAUUGUCUUAUCUCACCUUAAUAAGAGAGAAGGUGCAUAGUCUUACAUUACUUUCUUAAUAAUGCAAAAAACAUAAAUGUCAUACCCUAAUAUUUGUCCAGGCUUUAAGAAAUAAAGCAAUUUCAAUGAUUAAUUAUGAAUGAGUAUACUGUUUAUACAUUGUUUUCCUCGUGUUCUGAUUCUUUGGCUCAUUUGAGUAAGGACCAUGUUCUGAGAGUUUACAUCAUUUUAAUACUGCAUAUAGUGAAACUUUUAAGUUAAGUACAUAAAGUUAGGACCUUUGAGACAUGAUUAAGAUAUUUGAACAGAGCCCUCAUCUAUAGGAUUAAUGCCAACAUAAAAGAGAAGCAGGCAUAUGCCUGACCCUUCUCUAUGUAAGGAUACAUCUAUAUAGCACCCUGUGAACUGAGAGGAUAGCCCUCCUAAGACAUCAAACCUUCCUGUGCUUUACCUUGGACUUGGCAUCUUCCAAAUGAAUGU